CCUAUAACAUAUUUAUUAUAUUUAAAGAGUUAGGGCCACAUGUGCAAGAGUGACCCCUUCCCAGAUUUAUUAAGAAUAAACCCUCACUUAUGGUGAAGGAAUACCUUGGUUAUAAAUCAAGCAUAUAAAAAAUACACAACAAGCAAUAUGCCACA
Molecule: long non-coding RNA, 155 nt
Organism: Juglans microcarpa x Juglans regia
Lineage: Eukaryota; Viridiplantae; Streptophyta; Magnoliopsida; Fagales; Juglandaceae
Exons: 3
Source: RefSeq, a predicted model, not a curated record